CCUAUCAGGUAGUAGUGGGUGUAACGUACCUACUAGCCGACAACGGGUACGGGUUGUGAGAGCAAGAGCCCGGAGAUGGAUUCUGAGACAUGAAUCCAGGCCCUACGGGGCGCAGCAGGCGCGAAAACUUUACAAUGCGGGAAACCGUGAUAAGGGGACACCGAGUGUCAGCAUCAUAUGCUGGCUGUCCGGGUGUGUAAAAUACACCUGUUAGCAAGGGCCGGGCAAGACCGGUGCCAGCCGCCGCGGUAACACCGGCGGCCCGAGUGGUGAUCGUGAUUAUUGGGUCUAAAGGGUCCGUAGCCGGUUUGGUCAGUCCUCCGGGAAAUCUGACAGCUCAACUGUUAGGCUUUCGGGGGAUACUGCCAGACUUGGAAUCGGGAGAGGUAAGAGGUACUACAGGGGUAGGAGUGAAAUCUUGUAAUCCCUGUGGGACCACCUGUGGCGAAGGCGUCUUACCAGAACGGGUUCGACGGUGAGGGACGAAAGCUGGGGGCACGAACCGGAUUAGAUACCCGGGUAGUCCCAGCCGUAAACGAUGCUCGCUAGGUGUCAGGCAUGGCGCGACCGUGUCUGGUGCCGCAGGGAAGCCGUGAAGCGAGCCACCUGGGAAGUACGGCCGCAAGGCUGAAACUUAAAGGAAUUGGCGGGGGAGCACA
Molecule: ribosomal RNA, 659 nt
Filed under: uncultured archaeon
Lineage: Archaea
Description: bacterial SSU rRNA
Rfam family: Archaeal small subunit ribosomal RNA
Source: RNAcentral